Molecule: non-coding RNA, 108 nt
Organism: Acanthosepion pharaonis
Lineage: Eukaryota; Metazoa; Mollusca; Cephalopoda; Sepiida; Sepiidae
Source: the annotation of a GenBank genome assembly
UACGACCACAUCACGUUGAAACACUGGUUUCCGUAUGAUCACCGACGUUAAGCACCAUCGAGUCUGGUCAGUGCCUAGAGGGUAACCGUUUGGGAAUACCAGAUGAUG